This 63-nucleotide transfer RNA is filed under the name Rhipicephalus simus. RNAcentral's name for it is "tRNA-Leu". Lineage: Eukaryota; Metazoa; Arthropoda; Arachnida; Ixodida; Ixodidae. The record is from RNAcentral.
UUCAGCUUGGCAGAAUAAAUGCAAUAAAUUUAGAAUUUAUGUAUGAGAAACACUCAGUUGAUA